CUGAUGUCUUGUGGUCUCAGCGUGGAGCUGCAGCAGUGAGCAGGAAACAGCUGCAGCUCUCUGACUCUGUGUGUUUGCAUACAUGUGUCCUCCUCUCUGCUUCCAGCCAUAAGAGGCUGCUGUCCAUCAGUGGCUGUCCAGGCCUUUCACACACACAUGAUGAUGUCACUGACUCUGCUGCUGGCCACCCUGGGGCUCCUUGUUCAGGCCUCAUCAGGAGAAAUCCUCCUGACUCAGUCUCCUGGAUCUCAGUCUGCUGUUCCAGGACAGACUGUCUCCAUGACAUGUAAAGCCAGUUCACGUGUCUAUAAAGACCUCCAGUGGUACCUUCAGAAACCUGGAGAAGCUCCUAAACUCCUGAUUUAUGAUGAUUCAACCCGUCAAUCUGGAGUUUCAGAUCGUUUCAGUGGAAGUGGAUCUAAUACUGACUUCACUCUGACCAUCAGUGGAGUUCAGGCUGAAGAUUCAGGAGUUUACUACUGUCAGCAGGAUGAGGAGUUCCCGUACACGUUCGGUGGAGGAAGCAGACUGGAUGUUGGAAGUGAUGCCCGUCCCACCCUGACGGUGCUGCCCCCCUCCAGGGAGCAGCUGCAGCAGGGGACGGCCACGCUCAUGUGCCUGGCCAACAAGGGCUUCCCCUCAGACUGGAGUCUGUCCUGGAAGGUGGACGGCAGCAGCAGCAGCAGCAGCUGGGAGCAGAGCAGCAGCCCCGGGGUGCUGGAGAAGGACGGCCACUACAGCUGGAGCAGCACCCUGAGGCUCUCUGCAGACCAGUGGAGGAAGGUGGGCUCUGUGACCUGUGAGGCCACCCAGGGCUCCCAGACUCCGCUCUCAGAGACUCUGAGGAGAGACCAGUGUUCCCAGUCCUGAUCUGACUCACUGCUUUUACUCUGCUACUGCUCUCAGUCUGCUCUCUUUCUCUGGUUCUCUCAUGAUUUUUCAACAUUAACUUGUUCUUGCUUGUGUUGAUAGUUUUAACAUUUUCAAACAAUAAAGAAUUCCAUCAUAUAUUAUAAAAGUGACCGGUCUUAUGAAUUCCUUUCUUUCACAUGUGUUAUAUAAUAAGAGCAUGAAUCAGAUUAAUGUGCCAAAGUGACAAUGAUAAGAAGUACAUGUUUUCCAGAUCCAUUUUUAAUAGUUUUAAGACUUCAGACAUGGUGCAGCCAUUUCAAUGGUAAAUCACAAAGCUAUCAGAUUUAACUAAUUUAAACGUUUGAAGAAUAUAAGUUAAUUUGUCAUUAAAUUUGUAUUUUUACCCAAGAUAAUUAAUCAUUCAUUUGUAAUCCUAUGUUCCCAAUAUAAAUGGUGCCCCGUUUAGAGGUAUCCAUACAAAUAUUUUGGGAAAUCCUAAAAUCCCAACAUAUUGGUGCCCCGUGUGAGGCAAUGUACAGUUGGCAAUCGUUCUUCACUCUGUAACUCUCUCUUUCUCAGUCUCCGCUCUCAGAGACUCUGAGGAGAGACCAGUGUUCCCAGUCCUGAUCUGACUCACUGGGACUCUGUCUCUGUCUCUGGCUUUAGUUCACAACAUUUACCAGCUUAUUGUAAUGUUUCACCAUUUCAGUGUCUGCU
Non-coding RNA from Centropristis striata (black sea bass), 1569 nucleotides. Lineage: Eukaryota; Metazoa; Chordata; Actinopteri; Perciformes; Serranidae. The record is from the annotation of a RefSeq genome assembly.